Molecule: long non-coding RNA, 441 nt
Filed under: Daucus carota (carrot)
Lineage: Eukaryota; Viridiplantae; Streptophyta; Magnoliopsida; Apiales; Apiaceae
Description: long non-coding RNA (DCAR_LNC007100)
Source: RNAcentral
UGGGGACGAACAACCUCCGGGACAGUAGGGAAAUCAUCUACUUAAAUCCCAGGCAUCUAGGACAGUAGGGACGUCAUCCACUUAGAUCCUAGGCAUCCAAGUAGGUGGGUCGUCGCCCUCCACCGCACUUGGGGACGAACAACCUCCGGGACAGUAGGGAAAUCAUCUACUUAAAUCCCAGGCAUCUAGGACAGUAGGGACAUCAUCCACUUAGAUCCUAGGCAUCCAAGUAGGUGGGUCGUUGCCCUCCACCACACUUAGGGAAAAACAACCUCUGGAACAGUAGGGAAAUCAUCCACUUAGAUUCCAGGCAUCCAAGUAGGUGGGUCGUCGCCCUCCACCACACUUGGGGAACAUAAACCUCUGGGACAGUAGGGACAUCAUCCACUUAGAUCCCAGGCAUCCAAGUAGGUGGGUCGUCGCUCUCCACCACACUUGGGG